GACGAACGCUGGCGGCGUGCUUAACACAUGCAAGUCGAACGGAAAGGCCUGCUUUCCCUUGUGGAUUGCGGGUACUCGAGUGGCGAACGGGUGAGUAACACGUGAGUGAUCUGCCCCCAACUUGGGUAUAAGCCUGGGAAACUGGGUCUAAUUCCCGAUAGGACUGCAGGGUGGUGCCUGUGGUGGAAAACGAUUUUCUAGUGGUUGGGGAUGAGCUCGCGGCCUAUCAGCUUGUUGGUGGGGUAAUGGCCUACCAAGGCGGCGACGGGUAGCCGGCCUGGGAGGGGGGACGGGCACAUUGGGACUGAGAGACGGGCCAGACUCCUACGGGAGGCAGCAGUGGGGAAUAUUGCACAAUGGGCGGAAGCCUGAUGCAGCGACGCCGCGUGGGGGAUGACGGCCUUCGGGUUGUAAACUCCUUUCGACCGCGAGGAAGCCACCUGGUUGGAAGGGUGGUGACGGUAGUGGUAGAAGAAGCACCGGCUAACUACGUG
Molecule: ribosomal RNA, 494 nt
Filed under: uncultured bacterium
Lineage: Bacteria
Description: partial 16S ribosomal RNA
Rfam family: Bacterial small subunit ribosomal RNA
Source: RNAcentral